AACGAACGCUGGCGGCGUGCUUAAGACAUGCAAGUCGAACGGUAAGGCCCCCUUCGGGGGGCACACGAGUGGCGCACGGGUGAGUAACGCGUGGGCAAUCUACCCUCAGGUUUGGGACAACUCCGGGAAACUGGAGCUAAUACCGAAUAAGACCACAGAGUCCUCGGGCUCAGUGGAAAAAGAUGGCCUCUUCUUGAAAGCUAUCGCCUGUCGAUGAGCCUGCGUACCAUUAGCUUGUUGGUGGGGUAACGGCUCACCAAGGCGACGAUGGUUAGCUGGUCUGAGAGGAUGAUCAGCCACACUGGAACUGAGACACGGUCCAGACUCCUACGGGAGGCAGCAGUCGGGAAUCUUGGGCAAUGGGCGAAAGCCUGACCCAGCAACGCCGCGUGAGGGAUGAAGGCCCUCGGGUCGUAAACCUCUGUCGGGAGGGAAGAAUUGGCAGCGGGCGAACAGUCCGCAG
This 463-nucleotide ribosomal RNA is filed under the name uncultured delta proteobacterium. Its description in RNAcentral is "bacterial SSU rRNA". It matches the Rfam family "Bacterial small subunit ribosomal RNA", at positions 29 to 471 of the family's 1533-position model. The record is from RNAcentral. Lineage: Bacteria; Deltaproteobacteria.